RNAcentral lists this ribosomal RNA (747 nucleotides) under uncultured archaeon. Its description in RNAcentral is "bacterial SSU rRNA". It matches the Rfam family "Archaeal small subunit ribosomal RNA", at positions 102 to 850 of the family's 1478-position model. The record is from RNAcentral.
AGUUAACCUAACCUAUGGAUGGGGAUAACCUCGGGAAACUGAGAAUAAUCCCCGAUAGACCACAAUGCCUGGAAUGGUUUGUGGUUGAAAUGAUUUAUCGCCGUAGGAUGGGACUGCGGCCUAUCAGCUAGUUGGUGAGGUAAUGGCCCACCAAGGCUAUAACAGGUACGGGCUCUGAGAGGAGGGGCCCGGAGAUGGGUACUGAGACACGGACCCAGGCCCUAUGGGGCGCAGCAGGCGAGAAACCUUUGCAAUGUGCGAAAGCACGACAAGGUUAAUCCGAGUGUCCUCUGCUAAAGAAGUCUUUUGUUAGUCAUAGAACCACUGAUGAAUAAGGGGUGGGCAAGUUCUGAUGUCAGCCGCCGCGGUAAAACCAGCACCUCGAGUGGUCAGGAGGUUUAUUGGGCCUAAAGCAUCCGUAGCCGGUUGUUUAAGUUUUCGGUUAAAUCUAUGCGCUUAACGUAUAGGCUGCCGAAAAUACUGGACAGCUAGGGAGUGGGAGAGGUACACGGUACUCAAUAGGAAGGGGUAAAAUCCUUUGAUCUGUUGAUGACCACCUGUGGCGAAGGCGGUGUACCAGAACACGUUCGACGGUGAGGGAUGAAAGCUGGGGGAGCAAACCGGAUUAGAUACCCGGGUAGUCCCAGCUGUAAACGAUGCAAACUCGGUGAUGCAUUGGCUUGUGGCCAAUGCAGUGCCGCAGGGAAGCCGUUAAGUUUGCCGCCUGGGAAGUACGUACGCAAGUAU